UGAGGAUUCAGAUGGCUUUAGUAGAAGCCGGGCGCGCCCAGGCCUUUUGUCGUGCUUCUUUUUGCGUGGAACAUAGCCGAAGUCCUAAGGGACUCGAGGGAAGAAAAGCUCCAGUCGGAUGGAGGAGAGCAGCAUUCGGCUACCAACACUAGGCUCUCGGCUUUCUUGCUCCAGGAGUUCCGAAUCCCUGGCUUCCUCCUACUUUCUUAUUCGGACGGAAAGCCUAGGGUCGAGACCCCCUCUUCCGCCUCCUGGCAUUCGCACUCUUCUCUCUCGCCCCCUCUCCGUCUCCUUGAGAUCGGACAGACCCAACGCCCCAACCCCUCUUCUUGUUCGGGUGACCUAGCUGAAGUCGAAGCUCCUCCGCCCGAUGCCGUCCUGCUCAAGCUGCCAUUCCCUUAUCCCUUUGCAAGAUAUCAUUUGUUCGAACAGGCUCGGAUUUAUAGAUUUUUGUUGAAAACAAAGAAGCAAAAUGGUAACAAUAAGAGAGGUCUAUAUGAUAAUGAUGAUCCAGUAGCUAAAGAAGAAAGUCUCUUGAGGAAAAAGGUAUAAGAUUUGAUGAAGAAACAAAAGCUGCCCCAAUUAAGGAGUAUAGUUAAAGGGCAGGAUAAAACUAGGCCAUGGGGUCAGGAUGCUCUAGGAAAGGUGGGGAGCCGCUUGAUUGAACUAUUAAUUGACACAGCUUAUAUACAACCCCCAGUUAAUCAGCUAAUAGAUGGUCCACCUGAUAUCCGUUCUGCAUUUAGACAUUCGCUCAAAACUUUGACAAAAGAACUUUGUGAAUUUAGGUGGGGAGCCUCUGGUUUGUCAAGGGCUAGAGAGAACGGCUAGGCACAUGGUCAUCCCGUACAUGCCUAUGUUGAUACCUCCUAUGGAUUGGACAGGGUAGGAUCCAAAUCUUCAUUAUGAGCAAUUACGUCCUGCAUUUAGAUAUGAAGCUUGGCGAUGAGAUUAAGUAGCU
Dendrobium catenatum is the source of this 961-nucleotide long non-coding RNA. RefSeq lists it as uncharacterized. Lineage: Eukaryota; Viridiplantae; Streptophyta; Magnoliopsida; Asparagales; Orchidaceae. The record is from RefSeq and is a predicted model, not a curated record. The transcript is spliced from 4 exons.